This 507-nucleotide ribosomal RNA is filed under the name uncultured bacterium. Its description in RNAcentral is "partial 16S ribosomal RNA". It matches the Rfam family "Bacterial small subunit ribosomal RNA", at positions 28 to 505 of the family's 1533-position model. The record is from RNAcentral.
GACGAACGCUGGCGGCGUGCUUAACACAUGCAAGUCGAACGAAGGCGGUGGGAGCUUUCCUUCAUUCAACCUAGGUGGGGAGGGGGGGGUUAAGGGGUAUUCAACUUGCCCUUCGAGGGGGGCCAAAAGUGGGAACGAAUACCUCAUACGCCCUACGUCCUAAACUGGGCAUGCGGGUUAACUCAAGGUGGCCUCUGAAAGUAAGUCAUACAUGCAAGUGGGGGUUGUGUAUGGUUAGCCAGUGGGAGGGGUAACGGCCCACCAAGGCGAUGAUCAGUAGCCGAUCUGAGAGGAGGAAAGGCCACAUUGAGACUGAGACACGGCCCAGACGCCUACGGGAGGCAGCAGGGGGGAAUCUUCCGCAAGGGACGAAAGUCUGACGGAGCAACGCGGCGGGAGUGAUGACGGCCUUCGGGUGGUAAAGCGCUGUUAAUCGGGACGAAAGGCCUUCUUGCGAAUAGUGAGAAGGAUUGACGGUACCGGAAUAGAAAGCCACGGCUAACUACG